This is an RNA transcript of Phacochoerus africanus (Common warthog), 1670 nucleotides long. It is a transcript of the gene named transmembrane protein 42, with no coding region annotated. The transcript is spliced from 4 exons. Lineage: Eukaryota; Metazoa; Chordata; Mammalia; Artiodactyla; Suidae. The record is from RefSeq and is a predicted model, not a curated record.
CGAGCGGAGGGAAGGAGGCGGGCACCAUGGCCGUGGCCGGAGGGCCGCAGGUUGUGGGGAGCGGUGUGUGUGCUGCCUCGUACUCUAACGUCUCCGCCGGAUUUCCUCCGCACCUGCAGGCCGGCGCGAUGCGGCGCCGCUUCUGGGGAAUAUUCAACUGCCUGUGCGCUGGAGCGUUCGGGGCUCUGGCCGCCGCCUCUGCCAAGCUGGCCUUCGGCAGCGAGGUGAACGUGGCUUUCUGCAUCUUAGGCAUUAUUAUGAUGGCUACCACCAAUUCUCUGAUGUGGACAUUCUUUAGCCGGGGCCUCAGUUUCUCCAUGUCUUCAGCCAUUGCAUCUGUCACGGUGACGUUUUCAAAUAUCCUCAGCUCGCAUAUGGAGUUUCCAGGCCAGGGAUCAGAUACUACACUACAGCUGUGGCAAUGGAUCCUUUAACCCACUGUGCCGGGCCGGGGAUUGAACCUGCAUCCUGGCACUGCCAAGACGCCACUAAUUCCAUUGUACCACAGCAGGAACUCCAGGAUGUAGAAGUUCUGGAGCCAGGAAUCAAUUCUGCACCACAGCUGCAGUCUGAUCCAUAGCAGUAACAAUGCUGGGUCCUUAACCCACUGUGCCACCAAGGAACUCCCUAUUCAUUCCUUUUUUGCUUGUACAUUUGGUGUCUUAUUACAGAAUCCGUAGCCAGUCAGAAUAUGACCCCAGAUGAUGCAGGGCCUCUUGUAGAUUGUUGAAAGGACUUUGACUUUGACUCUGAGUGAGAAUGCAGAAGAGAGUGCUGGUCAGCUUUACCUUAAAAGGGAGUCCACACUACAGCGGGCAGGGGCAGAAGCAGAAAGACCUGUCAGGGAGUUCCCACUCUGGCACAAUGUCAUCAACGUCAUCGCAGGAUUGCUUGAUCCCUAGCCCAGCACAGUAGGUUAAGGAUCCAGUAUUGUCGCAGCUGUGGCUUAGGUCACAACUGCGGCUCAGAUCUGAUCCCUGACCUGGGAACUCCAUGUGCCUCAGGGAGGCCAAAAAAGGGGGGGAAAAAAAGCUAGAAAAGAAAGACCUGUUAGAAGCCACUGCCACUGUGCAGAUGAGGAAGAGGAGGAGGAGCCUUUACUGGCAAACUAGCAGUAGGGUGAAAAGAAGUUAUCAGACUCAGAGUUCCUUGGUAGCAGAAUCAGUUAAGGAUCUGGUGCUGUGGUUCUUGUCACAUCAGUGACACAAGUUCGAUCCUUGCCCCAGAAGCUUCCAUGUGCUGCUGGUGUGCCAAAAAAAAAAAGGAGAAGAGAUCAGACACUAAUGCCUUUGGAAGUCAGAGCCAGUGGAGUUUGCUGAUGAGUUAGAUAUGUGUGUGAGAAAGAUCAGUGAUGCUUUCGUGGUUUUGGCCCUGCUGUGUGCCAGGUGCUGGUGGCACUGGAUUCGUUGCACAGAGUCCUUCCCCCACACGUUAUCUCAGUUAAAAAAUAGCUCACUUAUUCACUUCUGCAUUCAUUCAUCUGCUGAACACCGACUAUGUGCCAGGCUAUGGGACACAGAAAUGAGAAGAUUCCAUCUCUGGCUAUGAAGUCAAGGUCCCCUCAAUGAAAUGUGAGUUUUGGAGUUCCCGUUGUGGCUCAUCCAGUUAAGAACCUGACCAGUAUCUGUGAGGAUGCCAUUUCCAUCCCUGGCCUUGCUCAGUGGGUAAAG